AGGCAAACAAGCGCGUCCUCGAUACCAUCAAGGAGUUGGGCCGGCUCACUUAUGGCGUCAUGGUCUAAUUACCGGGAUAGUUUCACAAAGUAGACGAUCUCAGAUAGGCAUUGUUGGAGCGCCGUUGUUCCGUGCUCGCCUACAAGCGCGCUCUCGUCUUACGGAACAUACGGCCAUUCCUGCUUGAUCGCCGUGUCCAAGUGUCCGAGUCGGCUUGUAAAGAGUCAGUGUUGCAACUUGGUGACUUGCUGUGCUGUAACAAACACUAUAUUAGUAUUUUAUUGUGUUUUGCAGGUUGCUUGAGAAUAAUAGUCCGAGUGGUUCUGUUCCAUACAUCAUUUGGCAAAUCAUGAAUUUUAUGGCAAUAAAAGUCUGAUCUUGUUAAACCUUAUUGAAGGUUUAUUUGAAGCUUUUACCUUGACUCAAAAAGUUUUGGAAUCAAUUCUAUGUGAACCACUUUGACAAGAUGUUAUGUAUGCAUUCAUAUUUGAAGCUUAGAGACAAUAAGACAAUUAUAGGUUAGAAGAUCCUGUGUGUUAGUUUCAUUCAUUUUGCUAGGAGUCACUGCUCAUAUCUUAUACUUUUUUUCUCCAAUGAUCGAGUGGGUCUUCUUCAUGGAUUUAGAUGCUGUUCUCAUACCAAUUUUGAUAAUCUAUCAGAUUGUUAUCAGCCAAUACCACCCGAUGUUAUUGAAAAAAAUGAUUUAUCCACGGCAGUAAAAACUAUAUGCUUCAUCAUUGUUACUUAGAUGGAGAGGUAAAUAUUGUGUAGGUAUGUAUUGGUUCAAACAAUAUUUUAAGUAAUGAUCUUGGUUCCUAAUGGUUGUAGGAAUCACCUGAUGUAAUAGUCAAGCCUUUUGGAGGUCACAAGGUAAUUUUCUUUAUAGUAUGUAUACCCAUGAAGUGCAACUAGCACUGAACCAAAAUCUAUUGACAUCGUCCAAUAAACAUACGAUGUAAUAUAAAUGUUUAGAACAUGAAUUUUAACACUAGCUUUUGUUACUGUGGGUGUUCAAUGCUGAAAUAUCAAAGAAAAUGACAAUAUGUUUACAUAUUCAAUAAUUCUAUUGGAAGCUGAUAUUGGGAGUUGCUAAUCCUACAUUGUAACAUAUAAAUUCAUCAAAUGUGCACACAGCUUUUUUGUCUCUAGCUGAUAUUGUUGUCUU
Musa acuminata subsp. malaccensis (wild Malaysian banana) is the source of this 1165-nucleotide long non-coding RNA. RefSeq lists it as uncharacterized. The record is from RefSeq and is a predicted model, not a curated record. NCBI's taxonomy places the organism in Eukaryota, Viridiplantae, Streptophyta, Magnoliopsida, Zingiberales, Musaceae.